UACAGAGGUGGCAAGCGUUAUUCGGAAUUAUUGGGCGUAAAGGGCGCGUAGGCGGCCAAGCAAGUCCCGGGUGAAAUCCCUCGGCUCAACCGAGGAACUGCCUUGGAAACUGCUUGGCUUGAGGCCGGGAGAGGGUAGUGGAAUUCCCAGUGUAGCGGUGAAAUGCGUAGAUACUGGGAGGAACACCGGUGGCGAAGGCGGCUACCUGGACCGGUUCUGACGCUGAGGCGCGAAAGCGUGGGUAGCAAAC
RNAcentral lists this ribosomal RNA (250 nucleotides) under uncultured bacterium. Its description in RNAcentral is "partial 16S ribosomal RNA". It matches the Rfam family "Bacterial small subunit ribosomal RNA", at positions 524 to 773 of the family's 1533-position model. The record is from RNAcentral.